AUUGUGCCUUUAAAUGUUUUUAUGAUCACUUACUUGUUUUUUCUCUACUGACUGCCUGGAAGCAAGAAGCCUAGUGGAUAAGAAGUCCGUAUUGUUAAGUGCAAAGAUAAAAAAAUAAAUCCUCAAGGCUGAGAUACAACGUAUGCUCUUACGGAGCUCGAAUUUCCUGAAGCAGUAAAUGCACCGCGUGAGAAGUGCGACGCCUUCAGCUUCACCUGUGGAGUUUGUUUGGCGCAGAAACACGGAAUAUGACUUCGGAAGGAAUACAGGAAACUAAGAUUUGAAGAAUUUUGUUUUUUAUUUAUUUAAAAAAUGUAACUAAUUUCAAAAUGGACACCAGCUGGAGCGGUUUGGGACAACAGAUGAUUCGCGCCGUUUCCAGGAGUUUUGAAGCUCAGAUCACAAGAACAAGAUGUACCGACAGAGCUUCCUGUGGCUGAACCUGAAGAGACUGGCUGUCCAGGACACACAGGCAGAGUUGCAGAGCAGCAAGUAACUGAUGCCAAAGAAGCGCUGGUUCGUUAAUAAACCCACAUUCAUACCGAGUCCUGGACAUGAACGGCUACUUCAAAUGUGCGAGUCCUUAGCCUCCACCAAGGAGUUGAUGCGGAGACCUGUGACAGAUGGAGCCGGCGACGUAGCCUUCGAACACAAGUGUUUUCACCAAACACUUCAGGGAAAGUACAGUGCUGUGCAGAAAGGUGGUAGCUUAUUUCUUUAUGUUUUGUUUCUAAGGAGCGAGGCUUUUUGGGGUGUUUUAAGUUGGCUUCUUACUUUACUUUGGUUGUUUUUCACCAAUCUGCAGCCCGAUUCCUGACGACUUUCAGUAGAAUCCCUUGUUGUUUAAGCCACACAUCUCAUUGGCUUGUGAAAACAUGCAUAUUUUACCAACCUCUAAAUCUAAACCGUUUUUAAAAAAUGCACAAAGUUGCGUUCAUCUCUUGGAAGCGCAGUAUAAACCAACUAUUGUCUGGUUUACAGCUGUAUAGUCUUCUAAUGAUAUGCAAAUAUCUAAAUUUGUGACGCAUAUCAUUUAUUUAUCAG
Gambusia affinis (western mosquitofish) is the source of this 1044-nucleotide long non-coding RNA. RefSeq lists it as uncharacterized. The record is from RefSeq and is a predicted model, not a curated record. Lineage: Eukaryota; Metazoa; Chordata; Actinopteri; Cyprinodontiformes; Poeciliidae. The transcript is spliced from 4 exons.